This 1494-nucleotide long non-coding RNA is filed under the name Fukomys damarensis (Damara mole-rat). Its description in RNAcentral is "lncRNA (ENSFDAG00000028222.1)". The record is from RNAcentral. Lineage: Eukaryota; Metazoa; Chordata; Mammalia; Rodentia; Bathyergidae.
UAGGAAGUUACAGAAGAAACAAGGAAGGAGGCAAUGCUUACCCUCCAUCUACUCCAUUUCCACUCCUACAUACCUGUUGAUGAUGCUUCUGGUGAGCAGUACUGUGAAUUGUGUGCUACUGAAAGAUAGCAGGCACAAUCAAGCAGUUGGCUAAAUGUACAGGUUUGAUUAUGUAUAUAUUUUCCAAUAUAUAUAUAUUCACCCAGCUUUCUGUCCCACAGCCUUUACUCUCUGCCAUGGCUCCAUGAUACUCUGUGCAGAAAGAUGCCUGUGUUCCUUUAUUCCUGGGAUGGAGGUGCAGCUGACACACCUUGGCAGUGCCUUAAACCACAGGGACCAAACUGGAUGAAGUGGCUUUUCCAUCUGCAGAAUUGGCCAGGAUGUGAAACACUCACUGCUGGAUCCCUCUCCUGUGUCUGGAUGGCCUGUUAGCUUCUCUCUGGUGAGUGAGGAUGAGCAUGUGCAGUUUUCCACGAGACCAAAUAUGCAAAGAACUUGGCAAAAAUCCCCCGGUCUGCAGCUCCAGCCUGAGCAAUGGUGGCAUUCAGUGUCUCUAAAGUUACUCAUUCAUUCACUGCAUGUGUGUGUGUGUGUGUGUGUGUGUGUGUGUGUGUGUGUGUGUCUGAACAAGCUCUUCUCUCCCUCUCCAACACUACUGCCCCUAGAACUUCUGUGAAUGACAGUCUGAGUGAAGUGGUCCCUUGCUGAGAUGCAAACAAUCUGCCAGCUGGCCUGCGGUUCCUGGGGCCUCUGGAGGCUUCUCCUGACACCUGGUCCCAUAUGGCAGAGCAUUCUUGGGGAUAUGAGCCAAGAGGGCCUCAGAAUAACAGAAACACAUUCCUAGCUUUGUGGCCAGACCCACAGGAGGCAGGGAGUAGGAUGGACAGCCUUGUUUGGGUGGUUAGAGAGGAGACAUUUUCACACACGUCCUCAUAACUUGGCUGUGGGAGCCAGCCCUAAUUUCUUUUUUCCUCUGAAUCCUGCGUUCUUUUUGAUUAAAGGAGGAGACAAAGGAGACUUUAUAAAUUCUCUUCCAGAGUCUGUGAUCAUACGAUUAUAAAAAUAAGCUUCUCACCGGGUUUUAGAAUUUCUACAGAUUCCUUCCUCAAAUCCACAUACCCUCCUUUCUGGCCUCCACUUUGUAAGUCUGUUUAUCUGUGAUGGACAAGAUCAAAUCCUGCCCCUUAUAUAAGGGUUCCCAAGAGAAAGUCAAUGAGUUCCCACACCUGUUAUCUCAUUUAUAUUGUUAUUUUGUCUCUUUCUCGCUGUUCUACUUGAGAUUGCUAACUCUUCGAUGAAAAUGACAGUGCCAUCUUUGCAUCCUUGGUAACAAGAAUGCCAGAGUACAUGGGAGUCGACUUGCAGUGAAUCUCACAGAGAGCUUAGUAAUUCAGAAUUCUAAGCCUUAUCCCUGGAGAUUCUGAUUCAGAGAUCUAGGGAUAGGAUCUCUCUUUAGAAAACAUUUGCAAAGCCUGAUUUGAGAGCUCCUGCCCU